AACCGUAACUGUGGUCAUGCCUA
RNAcentral lists this non-coding RNA (23 nucleotides) under Arabidopsis thaliana (thale cress). Lineage: Eukaryota; Viridiplantae; Streptophyta; Magnoliopsida; Brassicales; Brassicaceae. The record is from RNAcentral.